Molecule: transfer RNA, 57 nt
Filed under: Cavia porcellus (domestic guinea pig)
Lineage: Eukaryota; Metazoa; Chordata; Mammalia; Rodentia; Caviidae
Rfam family: tRNA
About the family: Transfer RNA (tRNA) molecules are approximately 80 nucleotides in length. Their secondary structure includes four short double-helical elements and three loops (D, anti-codon, and T loops). Further hydrogen bonds mediate the characteristic L-shaped molecular structure. tRNAs have two regions of fundamental functional importance: the anti-codon, which is responsible for specific mRNA codon recognition, and the 3' end, to which the tRNAs corresponding amino acid is attached (by aminoacyl-tRNA synthetases). tRNAs cope with the degeneracy of the genetic code in two manners: having more than one tRNA (with a specific anti-codon) for a particular amino acid; and 'wobble' base-pairing, i.e. permitting non-standard base-pairing at the 3rd anti-codon position.
Source: Rfam by way of RNAcentral
UAGCUCAGUGGCAUAAGCGCCUGCCUUGCAAGCAGGCAGUCGUGAGUUCAAUCCCAC